GGUGUAAAAUGAGCUUGCGUCCUAUUAGCUAGUUGGUGAGGUAAUGGCUCACCAAGGGUACGAUGGGUAGGGGUUCUUAGUGGAAGGUCCCCCCCACUGGCACUGAGAUACGGGCCAGACUCCUACGGGAGGCAGCAGUAGGGAAUAUUGGUCAAUGGGCGCAAGCCUGAACCAGCCAUGCCGCGUGCAGGAUGAAGGCUCUCUGAGUUGUAAAAUGCUUUUGUACAGGAGCAAAAAAAUCCCUGCGGGGGUUCUUGAGAGUACUGUAAGAAUAAGCACCGGCUAAUUCCGUGCCAGCAGCCGCGGUAAUACGGGAGGUGCAAGCGUUAUCCGGUUUUAUUGGGUUUAAAG
RNAcentral lists this ribosomal RNA (351 nucleotides) under Cardinium endosymbiont of Bemisia tabaci. RNAcentral describes it as "bacterial SSU rRNA". It matches the Rfam family "Bacterial small subunit ribosomal RNA", at positions 217 to 565 of the family's 1533-position model. The record is from RNAcentral. Lineage: Bacteria; Pseudomonadati; Bacteroidota; Cytophagia; Cytophagales; Amoebophilaceae.